RNAcentral lists this unclassified non-coding RNA (4249 nucleotides) under Hevea brasiliensis (rubber tree). The record is from RNAcentral. Lineage: Eukaryota; Viridiplantae; Streptophyta; Magnoliopsida; Malpighiales; Euphorbiaceae.
AAGAAGAAGAAGAAGAAGAAGAAAUCGAGACUAGUUUUUAUAGGAAAUUUGUGUCACCGAUGCCAGAUAACAGUAAUAAUAACAAUAGUAAUAGGCAGGUUAAGAGCAAUGCUUUGCCAAAUCAAUCUCCUGAUAAUAUUGAAGGUACCACCGUAUUUUUCUUAAUUUUUUUUAGAGCACGGAAGAUCUGCUUUGUUUUUGUAUUUUUCCUAUUAAAUAAUUUUGGGAGUAUGUUUAAUUUAGUGAUUGUUGAAUUAGAUGAUCCCGGUUGUUUUGUUUCGUUUGUUAUUGUUAUCAAAUAUGACAAUGCAUAUUGUUGUUUAAUUGCUUUGAUUUUAGAAGGCUAGGAGGUGUUGUUAUUGUUAAUUUUUUUUAAUAAUUUGUUUUUUGUUUGUGAUGAAUGUCAUAUACUUGCUGUUUGAUUAAAAUUUGUAGUUUGUUUGAAUUGUGCGUAUCAAAUUAUGACAGAACCGUAGCGCUUUGUUGCUUGGUAUGUGCCUGCCGCAUGUGGGUUUAUGGUUUUGAGAGCUUCUAUGCUGUGCCUUUCAAUGAUUGUGGGGAUUCUGGUUUGUUGUUGCAAUCAAAUUCUAUGAUCUGUUUUCUGUUCUCUUGAAUGGAGUUGUUAGAACUUUUCUGAUGUAUGCUUACAUAUGGGUUUUCUGUUUUGAUCAAUGACUUGAUGGUUAUAUAAGCUUUAAGAAAUUUGAACUUUAUUUUUUCGAGCUUUAUUUGCACAUGGCAGAUGCAAUUUGGCGGUUGAAAAUCCACGAUAACCAAGAGCAAGGUGGUAUGGCUCCAUCAAGUACAUACCCAGAUCGUCCUGGUGAACCAGAUUGCGUGUAUUAUCUAAGGACUGGAUUAUGUGGUUAUGGAAGUAACUGUCGUUUUAAUCAUCCUCCUGCUGCGCAGGGUACUCAAUUUAGAGAGGAACUUCCGGAAAGAGCUGGACAACCUGACUGUGGGUACUAUUUAAAGACAGGGACUUGCAAAUAUGGUUCAACAUGUAAAUAUCAUCAUCCAAGGGACAGGAAUGGUGCAGGGCCUGUCUCAUUUAACAUUCUUGGUCUUCCUAUGCGCCAGGAUGAAAAAUCAUGUCCUUAUUACUUGCGAACUGGAUCAUGUAAAUUUGGAGUUGCAUGUAAGUUUCACCAUCCCCAGCCUGCACCACUUGGAGCUGGGUUGCCUUUGACUGAACCUGCUGGAUCUGGGCCCAUGGGAUCAUCAACUGCACCUUCAUCAGGCCUGCCUUAUGUAGGUGGACUUCCAACUUGGUCAUUAGUAAGAGCACCAUAUGUGUCUGGCCCUCGUCUGCAGGGUCCACAGGCAUAUAUGCCUGUUGUUCUUUCUCCUACUCAGGGUGUUUUUCCAGCACAAGGCUGGAACACCUAUGUGGUAAGUAAAUGAUCUCUAAAGUUUUGUUUUUUCCAUAAAUAGUCAGUUGAAUUUACAUAAAUGUGAUGUGCUUGUAGGGAUGAUUCAUGGUUGUAUUAUCCUUUCACUAAAGUUGAUUGAAAUUGUGAGUGGGAUUUAUUCAUGAUAAACUUAAAUUCUCUUCAAGUACCAGAACACACAUGCACACACAAACACCUGUAGUCUUUUGAUUGAAUUUAAGUCAACUGUGGAAUUUAAGAUGAGUGAAUUGGUGGUUGGAUGCUCUUAAUUUGUGGAAAUUUCAGACAAAUAAUUAUUAUGGAGACAAUUACGUAAUGUGUUUGAAAUCAGUAAAAAUUAUUCCCCUUACUGUUGUUUGACCUUCACAUUUCUGUUUUAUGGGUCUGUAUGAUUGCAUUUUUAGGUUCUUGCUAUGCUAAGGACAUGACUUUGUUAGGAGACUGCUGUUGUUAGGGUGUAAUGAUUGAACCUUUUGGGUGCUUCUUACUGGACAAUGCAAACCCAAAAUCUAUUUCCAUAAAUAAGCUUGCUGUUUUAGGUGCUUCAGCUUUAAGUUGUCCUUGUAUUGUGAAGAAAGUUAUUUAUUGACACAUUGAUAUCCUACAUCAAUAUGGCCUCUUUCAAGAUGUGUGGUUUUGCCAGGCAAUUUCUGUUGUGGGGGAGUGUAGAGGUUGGGGUGAAGGUCAAAUGCAAAUUGUGUCGUUUAUAGAAUGAAUGUAAUCCUAAAAGUACAAAGGACUUGGAAAGUUGAUAUGCUUUCUAUUUAUUGAAUUUAACUUCUUUCAGUUGGUAAGUAGCAACAGAAGGUAAGUAUUUUAAUUAUGUAAAAAUGAGGUAAUGCAUUAUCUGGUGAUUGGUGGUACCAUGCUUGGUAAAUUACUUACAUGUGAUAUAGAAUUAGGGAAAGAGAAAACAGAAAACAAGAGAAGCACUUUUUAAAAACUAAAGUUUCGAUCAAUCAUUCAAUAAUGGCCAAGUUCCAAUUGCUAACUAGGAUGUUUUGUGUAGGCAUCAAAGCAAUUAAAAAUUAGAAAACCUAAAUCAAACAGGAUUGGGGAAAUAUUUCUAGAACACCUAAUAUCUGUAAAUUUAAAAACUCGAAAUAAAACUCAAGUAAUAAAAUUUUCUAGAACAUCUAAAUAAUAAAAAUUAAUAAUUAAGUGGAAAAAUUUCUCAAAUUUCCUUUCCUUGUUUGCAUUAGCAUCUUAAUAAAAAAUUGUAAGUUGAUGCAGUUACAUUUUAGGUAUGAUUCCAGGCAUGCACACAUAUAGUGUCAUCUGGCAAUGUUGACUACACAUACAAGAAAUCGUUUGAUUGGAACUUCUUUUAUUAUUUAUUAUUUGAUUUUUUUUAACUUUCAUUUUUGUAGAAUUUUUUUUUAAUUACAUUUUGUUGGCAAAGGCCUUCCCCCCCAACGUCAUGCUCUUAUUUGUCAAUCAGGGAAACUUGAGCCCCUUGUCUUCUGCCAGUGUUCUCGGAUCCAGUCUUGUUUACAACUCCAGGGAUCAAGGUGAGUCAGGAUCUAGUGGGCAAAUUCAUUUGCUAUCAACAACCACCUCUCAUCUUCCUGAGAGACCUGAUCAACCAGAAUGUCGGUAUUUUAUGAACACUGGGACCUGCAAAUACGGAUCUGACUGCAAGUACCAUCACCCAAAAGAAAGAAUUGCACAAAUAGCAACAAAUCCUGUUGGCCCAGCUGGUCUUCCCUCAAGACCUGUAAGUUUCAGAUUUAUUUUGUCUUCUGUAACAUAUGCUCUGGUUUGCACAUAAGUUUUGGAAUUUACUUGAAGAUAUUAUGAAUGAUGAAAGAAUCGCUAAUGGCAAUUGCCAGAGUGCAACUAUUAGAAUUUUGAUUGUGCAUAUAGUGCACAUGCUAGACUACUGCACAUGCAUUGCAUAUAUGGUCCGGGUGUCUUAAAUACCCAUGGCAUUGUUUUAAAUAAUGAUAGGGAAAGAGUGAACAUUACUGUUUCAUGUAAUUCUGGUCCUAUUUCAAUGACACCAACAUUCAUGGCUUGUUUUGCUAUGAUUUCAAAAUACAUCUAGUUUUGCUUGGAAAUUAGUGAAGAUUUUGCUAUGAUUUAUUGCUUGUUUACUUGCAGGGGCAACCUAUAUGUUCAAAUUACAGUAUGUAUGGAAUUUGCAAAUUUGGUCCAACUUGUAGAUUUGAUCACCCUUUCCCUGGAUAUCCUUAUAGCUACAGUUUGAGCUUGCAGCCUGUAUCUAUAUUUGAUUCCUCUCUCUUAACUUAUCCAAGAAUGUCGCCUCCAGCUCUUUCAUCUGAAAGUCCUGUCUCCUUAUCAUCCAAAUUCCCUGAUUGGGUCCAGAAUCCUGAUGGUGCAAGCAACAAGCAUCCAAAUUCAGAUACAAAUAUAAAGAUUUCUGAUGACCAGCCUGAGCAGGCCGGUUCUCCACCGCCACACUCCUCACAGGAUUCUUCAGAACCAUCACAUGAUUAAUUUUGAACUGGUUGAGAUUACUUCUUUCUGUUUUGUUGAUACUUUUUUACAUUGGUACCCUAAAAGGAGAUUUUUGUGACACGUACCUCCUGGCCCCCCUUUUCACCUGUGGUUCUGCAGAGUGUGAUAGGUUGUUUUGAAAUCAAAUAUGAGAAGCAAAAUCUGGGGGCACUGGAAGGCAUUUUUUUGUUGUGAAUAAAAUGCAGGUGAAAAUUUGUAAUAUUCCUUCCUUGAAUGUUCUCUCUUUGCUUGAAUGAUAUCCAUUUGUGGUGAUAAAGAUUUUGGUAGAAUAUUAUGAUUUUUGUUUGCAAAAUGCUCAAGCUUUUGCCUUUUACAUGACACAAUUGAAACGUUUGUUGUAUGAAAUAAUUUAGUUACUGCCACUUAAUAUAAUUCCU